RNAcentral lists this ribosomal RNA (2893 nucleotides) under Escherichia coli. RNAcentral describes it as "bacterial LSU rRNA". It matches the Rfam family "Bacterial large subunit ribosomal RNA". The record is from RNAcentral. Lineage: Bacteria; Pseudomonadati; Pseudomonadota; Gammaproteobacteria; Enterobacterales; Enterobacteriaceae.
ACUAAGCGUACACGGUGGAUGCCCUGGCAGUCAGAGGCGAUGAAGGACGUGCUAAUCUGCGAUAAGCGUCGGUAAGGUGAUAUGAACCGUUAUAACCGGCGAUUUCCGAAUGGGGAAACCCAGUGUGUUUCGACACACUAUCAUUAACUGAAUCCAUAGGUUAAUGAGGCGAACCGGGGGAACUGAAACAUCUAAGUACCCCGAGGAAAAGAAAUCAACCGAGAUUCCCCCAGUAGCGGCGAGCGAACGGGGAGCAGCCCAGAGCCUGAAUCAGUGUGUGUGUUAGUGGAAGCGUCUGGAAAGGCGUGCGAUACAGGGUGACAGCCCCGUACACAAAAAUGCACAUAUUGUGAGCUCGAUGAGUAGGGCGGGACACGUGGUAUCCUGUCUGAAUAUGGGGGGACCAUCCUCCAAGGCUAAAUACUCCUGACUGACCGAUAGUGAACCAGUACCGUGAGGGAAAGGCGAAAAGAACCCCGGCGAGGGGAGUGAAAAAGAACCUGAAACCGUGUACGUACAAGCAGUGGGAGCACGCUUAGGCGUGUGACUGCGUACCUUUUGUAUAAUGGGUCAGCGACUUAUAUUCUGUAGCAAGGUUAACCGAAUAGGGGAGCCGAAGGGAAACCGAGUCUUAACUGGGCGUUAAGUUGCAGGGUAUAGACCCGAAACCCGGUGAUCUAGCCAUGGGCAGGUUGAAGGUUGGGUAACACUAACUGGAGGACCGAACCGACUAAUGUUGAAAAAUUAGCGGAUGACUUGUGGCUGGGGGUGAAAGGCCAAUCAAACCGGGAGAUAGCUGGUUCUCCCCGAAAGCUAUUUAGGUAGCGCCUCGUGAAUUCAUCUCCGGGGGUAGAGCACUGUUUCGGCAAGGGGGUCAUCCCGACUUACCAACCCGAUGCAAACUGCGAAUACCGGAGAAUGUUAUCACGGGAGACACACGGCGGGUGCUAACGUCCGUCGUGAAGAGGGAAACAACCCAGACCGCCAGCUAAGGUCCCAAAGUCAUGGUUAAGUGGGAAACGAUGUGGGAAGGCCCAGACAGCCAGGAUGUUGGCUUAGAAGCAGCCAUCAUUUAAAGAAAGCGUAAUAGCUCACUGGUCGAGUCGGCCUGCGCGGAAGAUGUAACGGGGCUAAACCAUGCACCGAAGCUGCGGCAGCGACGCUUAUGCGUUGUUGGGUAGGGGAGCGUUCUGUAAGCCUGUGAAGGUGUACUGUGAGGUAUGCUGGAGGUAUCAGAAGUGCGAAUGCUGACAUAAGUAACGAUAAAGCGGGUGAAAAGCCCGCUCGCCGGAAGACCAAGGGUUCCUGUCCAACGUUAAUCGGGGCAGGGUGAGUCGACCCCUAAGGCGAGGCCGAAAGGCGUAGUCGAUGGGAAACAGGUUAAUAUUCCUGUACUUGGUGUUACUGCGAAGGGGGGACGGAGAAGGCUAUGUUGGCCGGGCGACGGUUGUCCCGGUUUAAGCGUGUAGGCUGGUUUUCCAGGCAAAUCCGGAAAAUCAAGGCUGAGGCGUGAUGACGAGGCACUACGGUGCUGAAGCAACAAAUGCCCUGCUUCCAGGAAAAGCCUCUAAGCAUCAGGUAACAUCAAAUCGUACCCCAAACCGACACAGGUGGUCAGGUAGAGAAUACCAAGGCGCUUGAGAGAACUCGGGUGAAGGAACUAGGCAAAAUGGUGCCGUAACUUCGGGAGAAGGCACGCUGAUAUGUAGGUGAAGUCCCUCGCGGAUGGAGCUGAAAUCAGUCGAAGAUACCAGCUGGCUGCAACUGUUUAUUAAAAACACAGCACUGUGCAAACACGAAAGUGGACGUAUACGGUGUGACGCCUGCCCGGUGCCGGAAGGUUAAUUGAUGGGGUUAGCGCAAGCGAAGCUCUUGAUCGAAGCCCCGGUAAACGGCGGCCGUAACUAUAACGGUCCUAAGGUAGCGAAAUUCCUUGUCGGGUAAGUUCCGACCUGCACGAAUGGCGUAAUGAUGGCCAGGCUGUCUCCACCCGAGACUCAGUGAAAUUGAACUCGCUGUGAAGAUGCAGUGUACCCGCGGCAAGACGGAAAGACCCCGUGAACCUUUACUAUAGCUUGACACUGAACAUUGAGCCUUGAUGUGUAGGAUAGGUGGGAGGCUUUGAAGUGUGGACGCCAGUCUGCAUGGAGCCGACCUUGAAAUACCACCCUUUAAUGUUUGAUGUUCUAACGUUGACCCGUAAUCCGGGUUGCGGACAGUGUCUGGUGGGUAGUUUGACUGGGGCGGUCUCCUCCUAAAGAGUAACGGAGGAGCACGAAGGUUGGCUAAUCCUGGUCGGACAUCAGGAGGUUAGUGCAAUGGCAUAAGCCAGCUUGACUGCGAGCGUGACGGCGCGAGCAGGUGCGAAAGCAGGUCAUAGUGAUCCGGUGGUUCUGAAUGGAAGGGCCAUCGCUCAACGGAUAAAAGGUACUCCGGGGAUAACAGGCUGAUACCGCCCAAGAGUUCAUAUCGACGGCGGUGUUUGGCACCUCGAUGUCGGCUCAUCACAUCCUGGGGCUGAAGUAGGUCCCAAGGGUAUGGCUGUUCGCCAUUUAAAGUGGUACGCGAGCUGGGUUUAGAACGUCGUGAGACAGUUCGGUCCCUAUCUGCCGUGGGCGCUGGAGAACUGAGGGGGGCUGCUCCUAGUACGAGAGGACCGGAGUGGACGCAUCACUGGUGUUCGGGUUGUCAUGCCAAUGGCACUGCCCGGUAGCUAAAUGCGGAAGAGAUAAGUGCUGAAAGCAUCUAAGCACGAAACUUGCCCCGAGAUGAGUUCUCCCUGACUCCUUGAGAGUCCUGAAGGAACGUUGAAGACGACGACGUUGAUAGGCCGGGUGUGUAAGCGCAGCGAUGCGUUGAGCUAACCGGUACUAAUGAACCGUGAGGCUUAACC